This 2236-nucleotide long non-coding RNA is filed under the name Homo sapiens (human). Its description in RNAcentral is "long intergenic non-protein coding RNA 1572". Lineage: Eukaryota; Metazoa; Chordata; Mammalia; Primates; Hominidae. The record is from RNAcentral.
GUAUUUGAAUUUGUGGCGCUUGGUGUCCGCGAGUUGCCGAAUGAAGCUGAGCGUCUCAGUGGAACCAGGGAUCUCAGGGAGGGGAAGGUAUAAAAUUUUCAAAUGGAGGAGUAUACCUGAACCUAAUCAUGGAUGUGAUUUUAUUGAAGACUGAAGCCUUAGGCUAUGGCAGAAGUUGGGCGCCUGAAGUACACGUGGAAAUAUGCCAACUGAACAUUGGACUACCACGUCAAGGGUCUCCUACCCCUGGGCCAUGGAUCAAUACCAGUCUGUGACCUGUUAGGAACCGGUAGCAGGAGCGCCUGCCCCUGGCUCAGCGCCCGGUGCCAACAGAACACCUUUCAGGAUCCACAGCAACGCAGACAACGUAAGUACCAGCCGUUCCCUGAAACCCUUUUGCAGAUUUUUUAAAAACAACCACCUAAAACAUAGAGAGAGAGAGACAAGCCUCUUUCCCCUUCUUCUCCCCUGCGUUAUGCCACCAGUGUUUCCUCAGUAGCCCCUUCCAAAUCGCUCUGCCUUCAAGUUUGUGCAUGUCUGUGUGGCAUCCCUCCUCCUCCUUCACUCCCAUAGUGGAUCUUGUAAAAGGGCUUCAGAUCGGCCCCAUUCAUCUCCCUGGUGAUAGCAGUGAAUGUAGAUAAAUCUCUGGCUGCCUGCUUGCUGCUGGAGUAUGAUUUUUAUUUUGUCUUCUGUGUAUACCUGGGUCAAAAAGUGGGAUGUAUGCAUACACAUACAUGCACAUACACAUAUUUCCUUCUCUCUCCUCUCUCUCCCUCCUUUUUCUCACACAUGCAUACAUCCUACAUAUGUGUGUAUAUGCAUAAACAUAUACACCUAUAUACAUACCCAUACCUGUAGCACAAAAUAUAUACAUAUCUAAACGUUUGUCUGAAAAUAUGCAUAUUUAUAUACACAUACAACCUUACACAUGUGUUUAUACGCAAUCGAUAGGUGCCUAUCUUUUAAUUUAUACCCAUCUAUAUCUCCAUUUAAAUAUUCCCUCUCUUCUCCCAGCAGAGGCUGUGUGCAAUUGCAAUCCAGGAUUAUACAAGCAGUAUUCUUUCCUUAUGAUUUCUAGUUGUAGACCUUUAUCCUCCUUUCUCUGCCUUCUUCGCAGCUGUAGAAUUGGCAUCUUUCCCUGAGGUUUUCCGAGUGGCAAGUGGCACCGGCUGUGGCAUGUAUUCAUGCCGCUUCCUAUGGCAUUUCUCUUCCGAUGUCUGCUUUUUCUUUGUUUGUUGUUGACUAGGCUGAAUGGUGGGGUUUUUUUUAAGUUAAUUAUAAACGAAGUUGAAAUAGCAAACAAGCCAACAGCUUGUCCCCCCCACCAAAAGAAAAAUUAGCCCCACACAAGCGCCUUCUGCUGCAACAGAUGCCCAGAUCACCCCUGGCACGGGCAAACGGGCAAACGAUUUUGGUGGUUUUCAGUUUUUUCUGUUUGUUGCUGUAUUUGUUGUUUGUUUUCCUUGUUUCUUUUUGAUUUUUCGAGGAGUCCAGAAUCCCGGCCUCUGCUUGGAACGGAACAGUGUCAUGGCGGAGACGACGGCCUUUGUCUUGCUGGGUGUGAAAACAUCCGCUGUGCUGGCUCCACUGCGGCAGAAUCAAGUUUAAAGGAAAAAAAGUGAUUAAAGUCAGCUUUGUGCCUCUGUGGUGUGGAAGACCCCCAAACCCCAAGUAGCCGAGUCCCAGGGUCCGAGGAAGGGCUCAUAGUUGGAGCAGCCUAGGCUGUAAUCCUGGCACUUGCGCCUUCGGUUGCUGCUUGCUGUUCGCUCCUGGGGGUCUGGAUAAUCUCCCUUGGCUUUACCGCACUGUCUGGCCCGCAUACAGGGCCCCGUAUCAUAUACCCGCUGCUGCUAUCACACGAAACUGUGGCGUUGCCCCUGAAUGGAUGGCACGGUGCCAACUCUUCUGCCAUCCGCCCUUGCAGCUUUUUUCUUUUCUCCCUCCCUCCCCUUCUUCUUCUCCUCCUCCCGUCGACUUGACGUUAAUUAACACUCGGGUUAAUUGAUUUUAAAAGCCGAAGAAUUACAGUUAACUUUUCCCACAGGGUACAGACGCCAGCCGCUUGGCACACUCUGCUUUUCGCACUGGUGCAGGGGAACAGGGAAAGCCCGCAGCAAAGCUAGCAACUGCUGAGGGAGCGUUGCCUGCUUAUUGGAGUAGAGCCGAUAGAAGUCGACGUGGCAUUGCCUCAUCCUUUACAAUAUAUGUAUCCAUUAUAUAUUUUGUUAAAUAAUCA